This 501-nucleotide ribosomal RNA is filed under the name uncultured bacterium. RNAcentral's name for it is "partial 16S ribosomal RNA". It matches the Rfam family "Bacterial small subunit ribosomal RNA", at positions 30 to 523 of the family's 1533-position model. The record is from RNAcentral.
AUUGAACGCCGGCGGCAGGCUUAACACAUGCCAGUCGAGCGGAGAUGAGGUGCUUGCACCUUAUCUUAGCGGCGGACGGGUGAGUAAUGCUUAGGAAUCUGCCUAUUAGUGGGGGACAACAUUCCGAAAGGAAUGCUAAUACCGCAUACGUCCUACGGGAGAAAGCAGGGGAUCUUCGGACCUUGCGCUAAUAGAUGAGCCUAAGUCGGAUUAGCUAGUUGGUGGGGUAAAGGCCUACCAAGGCGACGAUCUGUAGCGGGUCUGAGAGGAUGGUCCGCCACACUGGGACUGAGACACGGCCCAGACUCCUACGGGAGGCAGCAGUGGGGAAUAUUGGACAAUGGGGGGAACCCUGAUCCAGCCAUGCCGCGUGUGUGAAGAAGGCCUUAUGGUUGUAAAGCACUUUAAGCGAGGAGGAGGCUACUGAGACUAAUACUCUUGGAUAGUGGACGUUACUCGCAGAAUAAGCACCGGCUAACUCUGUGCCAGCAGCCGCCGUAA